This 447-nucleotide ribosomal RNA is filed under the name uncultured bacterium. Its description in RNAcentral is "bacterial SSU rRNA". It matches the Rfam family "Bacterial small subunit ribosomal RNA", at positions 355 to 825 of the family's 1533-position model. The record is from RNAcentral.
UCGGGAAUUUUGGGCAAUGGGGGAAACCCUGACCCAGCAACGCCGCGUGAAGGAUGAAGUAUUUCGGUAUGUAAACUUCGAAAGAAUAGGAAGAAUAAAUGACGGUACUAUUUAUAAGGUCCGGCUAACUACGUGCCAGCAGCCGCGGUAAUACGUAGGGACCAAGCGUUGUUCGGAUUUACUGGGCGUAAAGGGCGCGUAGGCGGCAUGACAAGUCACUUGUGAAAUCUCUGGGCUUAACCCAGAACGGCCAAGUGAUACUGUCGCGCUAGAGUGCAGAAGGGGCAAUCGGAAUUCUUGGUGUAGCGGUGAAAUGCGUAGAUAUCAAGAGGAACACCUGAGGUGGAGACGGGUUGCUGGGCUGACACUGACGCUGAGGCGCGAAAGCCAGGGGAGCAAACGGGAUUAGAUACCCACGUAGUCCCUGAGCGGGCUGGCAAGGCGCAU